UACGGAGGAUGCAAGCGUUAUCCGGAUUUAUUGGGCGUAAAGCGUCCAUAGGUGGUUAAUCAAGUCUAUUGUCAAAGCCUGGGGCUUAACCCUGGAGAGGCGGUGGAAACUGGUUGACUUGAGUGCGGUAGGGGCAGAGGGAAUUCCCAGUGUAGCGGUGAAAUGCGUAGAUAUUGGGAAGAACACCGGUGGCGAAAGCGCUCUGCUGGGCCUGCACUGACACUGAGGGACGAAAGCUAGGGGAGCGAAAGGG
RNAcentral lists this ribosomal RNA (253 nucleotides) under uncultured bacterium. Its description in RNAcentral is "partial 16S ribosomal RNA". It matches the Rfam family "Bacterial small subunit ribosomal RNA", at positions 524 to 776 of the family's 1533-position model. The record is from RNAcentral.